RNAcentral lists this ribosomal RNA (113 nucleotides) under Cociella punctata. RNAcentral's name for it is "partial 16S ribosomal RNA". The record is from RNAcentral. Lineage: Eukaryota; Metazoa; Chordata; Actinopteri; Perciformes; Platycephalidae.
CGCCAAACAGCUAGCCUACACAAUCAACCACAACAAUAAACUUCUAAUACCCCCACAAACACUCACCAUAAUAAACAAACCAUUUUUUUUCCUAAGUAUUGGCGACAGAAAAG